CCCCCCCCAGCACAGCCAUGGGGCGCUGCGCGGCGCUGCGGUUGGCGCUGCUGUGGGGCGCGGUGUGGGGCGCGGGGUUGGGGGCCGCCUUCGAAUUGGGGGACGCUCUGCGGGGGCUGCGGGGGGAAAACGCGCGGCUCGAAGGGACGCUGCGGAACCUCAGCCGGGCGUUGGGGCAGCUGCGGGCGCGGCUCCGGGAGCCCCCCGAUCUGACCUGGAGCUCCCCGGACCCCCCCCAGGCGCCCCCCCAUUGCGCCCUCAGCCCCACGGCGUCCCGCGCCGCCCCCCCCCCACUUUUGGGGUCAUUCUGGAACGUUCUGUGGGGGGGAAUCGCUGCCCCCCAACUGCUGCUGCUGCUGCGCUGAGACCCACUGCAGCCCCGGACCCACGGAUGGACCCCCCCCCGGCGUCGCCCUUUUAAUCAGCGCGACCCAAUGACUGCAACGGGUCACGUGGCGUCGCAUUGAUACGACGUCACGGCGCCGGGCGGCCACGCCCACCGGCGUCGCGCAGCAGUGACGUCAGUGCGGCCUUGAGGACGGCGCGGCGAUGGCGGGGCUGGGCCG
RNAcentral lists this long non-coding RNA (566 nucleotides) under Gallus gallus (chicken). The record is from RNAcentral. Lineage: Eukaryota; Metazoa; Chordata; Aves; Galliformes; Phasianidae.